AUCCGCCCAGGGGCCGGGCCCAAGGCCAGGGGAGCUUAGGGCUGGGAGGAGGAGGAGGAGGAGGAGGCUCGAGCCCAAGCCCUCCCUCGGACUGACUGGACACCUCCAGGAGGCGCGCCGGCCAGGGUCGGAAUGAGAAGACAGCGCGACCGUCCCCUCCCCCAACCCCUGAGAACUAAGCUGGAGGCGGGGGCGCGAGGCAGGAAGCACCGGGCCGGGGUCCCGACCCCGCAGAGGGCCGACCGGCCGGCCGGCGCGGGCCGCCAGGGGCCGCACUCACCAUGUCGUAGACGUUGAGCACCACUAACUGGAGGCUUGUGAAGAGGCUCAAUAAUAAACUGCCUAUAAAUCUUCGAAUACCAGAAAUAGCUCAGAACGAGGAUGCUGAUGAACGUGAGCAUCAGGACAAAAAUCAAGGCAGCCACCAGGCAGGGCCCAAGACACUGUUCGUGACAGCCCUGAGACGCGUAUCAGUGUCUGAAGCCAAGUAGAGUCCCAAGGUCUCAGGAAGGGGAUGCUGCCAUAGGAAUGGGCUCUUCCAUAUUGUUGAGGAUGAAGCAAAAGUCGAAUGGAUUUAUACUUAGAGGAAGAAAGUAUGGUUACCAUCAGAGAAAAUGCUGCAGAGUAAAUGACUGGCCUAAGGAUCGCUGAUGGCGGCGCCUCUUUGUCUCUCAUGACAAGGGUUGGUGUUGAAGCAGAGUGGUGGGCUACUCACUCACCUAGCACGUGAGGCCUCAGCUCAGUUCCAGUGGUGCAUAGAAAUAAACAAAUGAAGUUAAAUAAAUAAAAUCGACAGAGUAUACCCGAAACAGGACCUCACAGGAAGAGGCAUAAAGGGGACAUGGCCAAGCAUGUGGCAUGGAGGGUUUACUUUCUGGACUGAUGUAUUUGUCCAAAAGGAGACAAAGGUCUGCCAGGGCCUGCCCUCUGCCAAAGUCACCCAUCCCUGGAGAAAGUCUGUUCCAAAGGCUAGUGACCCAGAGGCACAAAGACCUUGUCUCUUUCUCAGAACAGUUCUGCCGGGCAGGCCUGCUCCAGUGUCCCUGUGAAGUCAACUGAAGGCUUCACUGGGGCUGGAGUUACCUGCCUCCUCUUCUCCCCAUUUUGACUUCCUCUACUCCUUUGAGGACAUUUUUGGUAUUCACCUGUUGUUCCAAUAAAGCUUCACUUCACUCUUUGAA
Molecule: long non-coding RNA, 1181 nt
Organism: Mastomys coucha (southern multimammate mouse)
Lineage: Eukaryota; Metazoa; Chordata; Mammalia; Rodentia; Muridae
Exons: 3
Source: RefSeq, a predicted model, not a curated record